GAUGAACGCUGGCGGCGUGCCUAAUACAUGCAAGUCGAGCGAACAGACGAGGAGCUUGCUCCUCUGACGUUAGCGGCGGACGGGUGAGUAACACGUGGAUAACCUACCUAUAAGACUGGGAUAACUUCGGGAAACCGGAGCUAAUACCGGAUAAUAUAUUGAACCGCAUGGUUCAAUAGUGAAAGACGGUUUUGCUGUCACUUCUAGAUGGAUCCGCGCCGCAUUAGCUAGUUGGUAAGGUAACGGCUUACCAAGGCAACGAUGCGUAGCCGACCUGAGAGGGUGAUCGGCCACACUGGAAGUGAGACACGGUCCAGACUCCUACGGGAGGGAGCAGUAGGGAAUGUUCCGCAAUGGGCGAAAACCUGACGGAGCAACGCCGCGUGAGUGAUGAAGGUCUUCGGAUCGUAAAACUCUGUUAUUAGGGAAGAACAAAUGUGUAAGUAACUAUGCACGUCUUGACGGUACCUAAUCAGAAAGCCACGGCUAACUACGUG
This 497-nucleotide ribosomal RNA is filed under the name uncultured bacterium. RNAcentral's name for it is "partial 16S ribosomal RNA". It matches the Rfam family "Bacterial small subunit ribosomal RNA", at positions 28 to 507 of the family's 1533-position model. The record is from RNAcentral.